Molecule: non-coding RNA, 90 nt
Organism: Acephala macrosclerotiorum
Lineage: Eukaryota; Fungi; Ascomycota; Leotiomycetes; Helotiales; Mollisiaceae
Source: the annotation of a GenBank genome assembly
GGCCACAUGGUGUAAUGGCUCAGCACGUCGGAUUCUGAUUUUCGUAAGAAGAUAGUUCCGGAGAUCUUGGUUCGAUUCCUAGUGAGGCCU